RNAcentral lists this long non-coding RNA (4237 nucleotides) under Triticum aestivum (bread wheat). Its description in RNAcentral is "long non-coding RNA (TAES_LNC026127)". The record is from RNAcentral. Lineage: Eukaryota; Viridiplantae; Streptophyta; Magnoliopsida; Poales; Poaceae.
CCCUCGAUCGAUCAUGGCAUAUUCUCGGUCUAGGUUACAACCCACAUGUAAGCAGUAGUGGCCUGGAGCGUGCCGCGGUCAUACAUUACAAUGGCAACAUGAAGCCCUGGCUUGAGAUUGGCCUGCCCAAGUUCCGAAGCUACUGGUCAGAGUAUCUUGACUACGAUCAGCCUUUUCUGCGGGAAUGCAACAUCAAUCCGUGAAGCAAGACCAGUACCUCCCAAGCCAUUCUGACAUCUCUAGCCUAGUUUGUUCAGUGUUUGAUUUAUUUGCCGGCAUCCCAUGUUGGGUAUGGUUUGUGGAGAAGGUUGUAGCGGUUGAGAUUACAUGCCAGUAGGGAAAAAGAAUAAUUCUGCAGUGUAAAUGCUUUUUGGCAUACCAUCGUUGUGUACGAAAUGUUAGAUUGCUGCCGUCGAGUAUCUGUAACAGGGAAGUUAGAAAUACACUAGAAAGACCAAAUGACCCUGGGUCUUAUUAGUUAGGCAGGGUUCAAGCCUCACUUCUAUCUAUUAAAAUUGGUGCCUAGUUGACAGCAUUGUCACAUGUGUUUUUUUUCUAAGUACUUGGCUUCUUGUUAGCUGGAAACUAACCUCACCUACCAAUUUAAAUGGUUCAUCUCAUCUUAUGUCCAAUUUGCAGUGAUAUAGAGCAAUUGCCACAUCUCAUAUAAAAUCUUGAGAUUUUUUUUCUUAUUUCAAUACGUUCAAUCGCUCAUAACAUGCUGAAAACAAUCUACUAUUUUCUUGUUUGCUGUUGAUAUCAUGCAUACUUAGUACUCUUAGUACUCCCUCACUUCCUAAAUAUAAGUCUUCUUACAGAUUUCGAUAUGGACUACAUACGGAGCAAAACGAGUGAAUCUAUACUCUAAAAUAUGUUUAUAUACAUCCAUAUAUAGUUUAUAUUGAAAUAUCUAAAAAGACAUAUAUAUUUAGAAACGGAGGAAGUACAAUUCUUAUACUCCAUCCAAUCAUAAAGUUGUACUAAGUGUGCGUUAAUUAAUAUGGAUUGAAGGGAGUACAUUUUUCUAUUUGAAAAGGAGGUUAAACCCUGCAUCAUGUGAUGCACACACGCCUAGUAUUAUUAAUUUACCCCCUCCGCAAAGAAAUAUAAUAGCGUUUAGAUCAUUGCAUUAGUGAUCUAAAUGCUCUUAUAUUUCUUUAUGGAGGGAGUACUAUUCAUCAAAGUACAAUACAAAGACAAACACGGCUGAAUAAUUACAAAGAGAUGAAUAAACAAUUAUGACUAAGUCGAUUUCUUUUGUAGCAAUGCCUUUUGCAAGGGGUACACGACCUCGCGCCAUCGUCACCAUGUCUGACUGAAGAAGGCUAGGAAAAGUAUUUUCAUCCCAGUUGUGGAGACCAACUACUGAAGGUCAAUACGUCAGCAAUGGGGCAAUGCCUUCAACAUGGUAAUGAGACAAAAAUCAUCAUUGUUGAGCAUAACCAAUAAAGGUCGGAACAAGGGUUUUCACCAUGGACAUGAAAUAGUGUCACAUCCACCGCCUUAAAAAUGUUGAAAAUCUAUACUACUAUAUAGUGUAUGAGUUUGGGAGCAUCAAUCCUAGCCACUGGUCUCAUAAAUCUAACGGCUGAGAUUAGAGGGAUUCACAGUGAACAAUAGUCCGCAGCUGAAUCUACUGGGUUCUGAAACCAUCGCAUCGUACCUCAUAGAAAAGAAGACCUAUGCCUCUUCUGCCAUGUUGCAAUUGUCACGUUGUGAUGAGUAAAAAAAUAAGGGUAGGCUAUGAGCCCAUGUGAGAUGGUCCGAGAGGAGAAAUAAAAGCUGAAGUAAGCAAUUUGUGGGUCCCACCACAUACAUCUUUCUUUAUAUUCUUAAAAAAAGGGGUGACAGCAGGCAGUGCUCGUCCCCCUGGCUCCGCCCCUAUUAAUAUUGCAGAGAUUUUGUUUUCCUGAUCAUGAGCAUUAAGAUGCCGGCAAUAAUGAGAACACCUUGUUGGUUGAAAAGAUGCCUCUCGGGGGCUCUCGGCGCCAUCCAAUAUGCGAGCCCAUGGUCCAAGUCGCCGGGGUCAUUCAUGCGAGGGGUAGUCCAGGCCCGGCUGUGAGCGGUUACUUUGGUCGCGCAAGCCAACCUAUUUUGCUUGGGCUAGACAGGUGCGCGUGGUCACCCCUGCCGGUCUGUGCUGCUCAUGCCAGCCACGCGCUGGGUGGUUGGAGAGGGUCGUCCGGCUAGGGUCGCAAUGGCGUGCAAUUGUUGAGACUAGGUCCACUUGUUAGCACUCGUGGCCUCUUGUCGGGCUGCCUCGCUCUCACCAGCCACGAGUCCGGUGGUCGAAGAGGGCCAUCCAAACAUGGGUGCGGCCGCGACCUAGCUGGUUGGCCAGGCCCCAGCCAUAUCUGAAUGCUACCGCAAGGGUAGCUCGGUCUUUUCCUUAAGGCGGUUAUGUCUUGCUAUAAGUUCGUUGUUUUAUGCUGCAUAUAGGAUGGCGCGCAAGUGGCCACCCUCUUCCUUUUCCCUUGUACUCGUUGCUCCCUUGUGCUCUUUGCCCAUAGCCCCCGCAACGGCUGAACACAUCUCCGGUCUCAUCCUUCUUACAUGAAUGUGCAGCCUGUCGUGUUCUUCGGCCUCUUUAAGCGUUCAAUUCGCCGUCGGGCAGCUCCUCGUCUCUGUUUUGGGUGGGUGUCUCCUUUGCUCUAUUGUCUGUGUUCAUCUUUUUUUCUGCUUGGCGUCUUUUUUUCUUUGAUCGUGCCGCCGCAGGACACACUGUUUCUUAUCGCGUUGAGAUGGUUUUCUUUGGGGGUUCUCUUGGGUUUCAUGGGUUUAACCGGGUUUUUUCCCUGUGAUUUUUGUUUCAAUUUUUCUUGGUUUUUUCGACUUUUUUGUUGUUGUCUGUCAAAAGUGUGAAAGCACGAUAGUGCUUCAUAUGAACUAAUAUCCCUUCUUUGCUUAGGUUAUCUGGUUGCUGGUUCCUAACUACUUCCUUUGUGAAGACCCUUAAAAAAAACUUAGAACUUCCUCUGUGAAGACCCUUAAAAAAAACUUUCUCUAUGAAGAAAUAUAAGAGCGCUUAGAUCACUGUACCGAGGAAGUACAUCACACACUAGUCAAAAAACAAAGUCUCAGCUUGGAUUUCUGACAGGAACAUUAUCAUGAGACAUGAGCAUAUAUUACAUUUCAAGAUCCGACCGGACAGUUCCUCAACGAAAGGCGCCACCCCACUCCCAGUCCCAUCCAUCCUUACUAAUGUGGAAAUAGCCAUCCUGAUCGUGGAUGGAACCGACGGAUUCGGUGUCAAAACUAGCCCUUUUUGGCUUUCCAGGGGCGAUCGUUGCCCCCUGGAGCGUCAUCGGAGUCCGCUGCAAGUUGAGAGAGGUUGCCGCUGCAUGUGGCUGUGGAGGUAGAGGCAGCUCCCCACUUCCUACAAGGGGUAUAUGCCCCCGUCACCAUCCUCUCUAUCCAAUGUCUCUCCCUGUCCCGUCAGGUUUUUUAUAAGCGCAAGUUGGCAGCGCUGUGACUGAGGAUCAUGUGGGAGUGUGGUCUCUCCCGUUUUGGCCAUUUCCCUGCUAUAUAUGAGAGCUUCACAUUCACUUGGUCACAACCACAUCACCACACAGAUCCAUCCAUCCAGAUAUCACGCUCCUGUUAUACAGUGGAAGAGCAGAGCAGAGCCUUCCUGCAGAAUCCCCCUCCUGUUCAGGCGCCCUGUCUUAUCUUGCUGAGGAUGGACAAGGUGAAGAGCCAUGGCAGCAAGCACAAGGGAUCAGGAGGAGUAGGAGGAGGGCUGAGCAGGAUGCUGAGGCAGCACAAGGCCAGGCUCUACAUCAUCCGCCGUUGCAUCGUCAUGCUCCUCCGUUCUUGAGCUGAUUCUUGUUUCUAGCUUAGGUUUAACAGAUUCUUUGGUGCGUGUGUAUAUACUACAUAACAUAGGGUAGUUCAGAGGUUCAGAUAGAUGUUGCUGACGGUUAGUUUGGAUGGAAGUUUUUGUGUGGUAUGGUGCUCCUAAGUCCUGCAAUGGAAGGAUGUUCAAGUACCGAUGUGUCAUGUGUUGGAGUGUUCUGUGUUUGCUCUAUCAGCACAAGUGAAUGAGGUCUCAAGAAAAAAAGGUUACCCCCUGGCAUUUCAUUUUAUCCACACUUCUAAGUAAUAAUUCUGCGAUGUUGGAUUGCUUUACUUAGAAAAUUGUUAACAUUGUCACAUGUGUAUUUUUUUUUUCAAGUACUUGCAUUCUUGUUUGUUGGAAACUAACGUCACACCUACAAAUUUAAAUGGUUCAUUUCAU